This is a ribosomal RNA of Sinocyclocheilus anshuiensis, 119 nucleotides long. The record is from Ensembl. Lineage: Eukaryota; Metazoa; Chordata; Actinopteri; Cypriniformes; Cyprinidae.
GCUUAUGGCCAUAACACCCUGUCUGAGCCCUAUCUCGUCUGAUCUCGGAAGCCAAGCAGGGUCGGGUCUGAUUAGUACUUGGAUGGGAGACCGCCUGGGAAUAGCAGGUGCUGUAAGCU